Molecule: ribosomal RNA, 442 nt
Filed under: uncultured bacterium
Lineage: Bacteria
Description: partial 16S ribosomal RNA
Rfam family: Bacterial small subunit ribosomal RNA
Source: RNAcentral
CCUACGGGGGGCUGCAGUGGGGAAUAUUGGACAAUGGACGCCAGUCUGACCCAGCAACGCCGCGUGAAGGAAGAAGGCUUUCGGGUUGUACACUUCUUUUAAGGUGGAAGAACAGUAGACGAUACCCCUUGAAUAAGCCACGGCUAACUACGGACAAGCAGCCGCGGUAAUACGUAGGUGACAAGCGUUUUCCGGAUGUACUGGGUGUAAUGGGCUUGCAGCCGGGAAGACAAGUCAGAUGUGAAAUCCCGCGGCUCAACCGCGGAACUGCAUUUGAAACUGUUUUUCUUGAGUAUCGGAGAGGUAAGCGGAAUUCCUAGUGUAGCGGUGAAAUGCGUAGAUAUGAGGAAGAACACCAGUGGCGAAGGCGGAUUACUGGACGACAACUGACGGUGAGGCGCGAAAGCGUGGGGAGCAAACAGGAUUAGAUACCCGUGUAGUC